ACCAGUAUGGUGUAGUGGUUUGAGCAUAGGACUGUGAUUCUGGAGACCAGGGUUCAAAUCCCAUGAUGGUC
Molecule: non-coding RNA, 71 nt
Organism: Phrynosoma platyrhinos (Desert horned lizard)
Lineage: Eukaryota; Metazoa; Chordata; Lepidosauria; Squamata; Phrynosomatidae
Source: the annotation of a GenBank genome assembly